RNAcentral lists this ribosomal RNA (253 nucleotides) under uncultured bacterium. RNAcentral describes it as "partial 16S ribosomal RNA". It matches the Rfam family "Bacterial small subunit ribosomal RNA", at positions 524 to 776 of the family's 1533-position model. The record is from RNAcentral.
UACGGAGGGUGCAAGCGUUAUCCGGAUUCACUGGGUUUAAAGGGUGCGUAGGCGGGCUUGUAAGUCAGUGGUGAAAGCCCGGAGCUUAACUCCGGAACUGCCAUUGAUACUGCAAGUCUUGAGUACACUUGAGGUGGGCGGAGUACAUCAUGUAGUGGUGAAAUACUUAGAUAUCAUCAGGAACUCCAAGGGCGAAGGCAGGAUACUAACCAAUUAAUGACACUGAGGAACGACAGCUAGGGGAGCGAAAGGG